RNAcentral lists this ribosomal RNA (225 nucleotides) under uncultured bacterium. RNAcentral's name for it is "partial 16S ribosomal RNA". It matches the Rfam family "Bacterial small subunit ribosomal RNA", at positions 109 to 334 of the family's 1533-position model. The record is from RNAcentral.
ACGGACACGACGCAACUUUCCUUCGAGUGGGGAAUAGCCCAGGGAAACUUGGAUUAAUACCCCGUAAUAUUAUGAAGUGGCAUCACUUUAUAACUAUAGUUACGACGCUUGAAGAUGGGCGUGCGGCUGAUUAGGUAGUUGGUGCGGGUAACGGCCCACCAAGCCAGCGAUCAGUAACUGGUGUGAGAGCACGACCAGUCACACGGGCACUGAGACACGGGCCCG